This 73-nucleotide transfer RNA is filed under the name Pseudomonadota bacterium. Its description in RNAcentral is "tRNA-Phe". It matches the Rfam family "tRNA". Rfam says of the family: Transfer RNA (tRNA) molecules are approximately 80 nucleotides in length. Lineage: Bacteria; Pseudomonadati; Pseudomonadota. RNAcentral also lists the same sequence under 2 other names. The record is from RNAcentral.
GCCCAGGUAGCUCAGUCGGUAGAGCAGCGGACUGAAAAUCCGCGUGUCGGUGGUUCAAUUCCGCCCCUGGGCA